This 1431-nucleotide ribosomal RNA is filed under the name Escherichia coli. Its description in RNAcentral is "partial 23S ribosomal RNA". It matches the Rfam family "Bacterial large subunit ribosomal RNA", at positions 1292 to 2706 of the family's 2925-position model. Lineage: Bacteria; Pseudomonadati; Pseudomonadota; Gammaproteobacteria; Enterobacterales; Enterobacteriaceae. The record is from RNAcentral.
GAAUGCUGACAUAAGUAACGAUAAAGCGGGUGAAAAGCCCGCUCGCCGGAAGACCAAGGGUUCCUGUCCAACGUUAAUCGGGGCAGGGUGAGUCGACCCCUAAGGCGAGGCCGAAAGGCGUAGUCGAUGGGAAACAGGUUAAUAUUCCUGUACUUGGUGUUACUGCGAAGGGGGGACGGAGAAGGCUAUGUUGGCCGGGCGACGGUUGUCCCGGUUUAAGCGUGUAGGCUGGUUUUCCAGGCAAAUCCGGAAAACCAAGGCUGAGGCGUGAUGACGAGGCACUACGGUGCUGAAGCGACAAAUGCCCUGCUUCCAGGAAAAGCCUCUAAGCAUCAGGUAACAUCAAAUCGUACCCCAAACCGACACAGGUGGUCAGGUAGAGAAUACCAAGGCGCUUGAGAGAACUCGGGUGAAGGAACUAGGCAAAAUGGUGCCGUAACUUCGGGAGAAGGCACGCUGAUAUGUAGGUGAAGCGACUUGCUCGUGGAGCUGAAAUCAGUCGAAGAUACCAGCUGGCUGCAACUGUUUAUUAAAAACACAGCACUGUGCAAACACGAAAGUGGACGUAUACGGUGUGACGCCUGCCCGGUGCCGGAAGGUUAAUUGAUGGGGUUAGCGGCAACGCGAAGCUCUUGAUCGAAGCCCCGGUAAACGGCGGCCGUAACUAUAACGGUCCUAAGGUAGCGAAAUUCCUUGUCGGGUAAGUUCCGACCUGCACGAAUGGCGUAAUGAUGGCCAGGCUGUCUCCACCCGAGACUCAGUGAAAUUGAACUCGCUGUGAAGAUGCAGUGUACCCGCGGCAAGACGGAAAGACCCCGUGAACCUUUACUAUAGCUUGACACUGAACAUUGAGCCUUGAUGUGUAGGAUAGGUGGGAGGCUUUGAAGUGUGGACGCCAGUCUGCAUGGAGCCGACCUUGAAAUACCACCCUUUAAUGUUUGAUGUUCUAACGUUGGCCCGUAAUCCGGGUUGCGGACAGUGUCUGGUGGGUAGUUUGACUGGGGCGGUCUCCUCCUAAAGAGUAACGGAGGAGCACGAAGGUUGGCUAAUCCUGGUCGGACAUCAGGAGGUUAGUGCAAUGGCAUAAGCCAGCUUGACUGCGAGCGUGACGGCGCGAGCAGGUGCGAAAGCAGGUCAUAGUGAUCCGGUGGUUCUGAAUGGAAGGGCCAUCGCUCAACGGAUAAAAGGUACUCCGGGGAUAACAGGCUGAUACCGCCCAAGAGUUCAUAUCGACGGCGGUGUUUGGCACCUCGAUGUCGGCUCAUCACAUCCUGGGGCUGAAGUAGGUCCCAAGGGUAUGGCUGUUCGCCAUUUAAAGUGGUACGCGAGCUGGGUUUAGAACGUCGUGAGACAGUUCGGUCCCUAUCUGCCGUGGGCGCUGGAGAACUGAGGGGGGCUGCUCCUAGUACGAGAGGACCGGAGUGGACGCAU